GCCCUUGUAGCUCAGUGGUAGAGCGCAGCACUUGUACCACAUACGUCAUGCUGAGGUCCAUCGUUCAAUCCGGUGCGGGGGCA
This is a non-coding RNA of Biscogniauxia marginata, 83 nucleotides long. Lineage: Eukaryota; Fungi; Ascomycota; Sordariomycetes; Xylariales; Xylariaceae. The record is from the annotation of a GenBank genome assembly.